Long non-coding RNA from Onychostoma macrolepis, 925 nucleotides. RefSeq lists it as uncharacterized. The transcript is spliced from 3 exons. The record is from RefSeq and is a predicted model, not a curated record. Lineage: Eukaryota; Metazoa; Chordata; Actinopteri; Cypriniformes; Cyprinidae.
GUGUGAAUUGUCUGGUAAUCAUGGCUGUGCUUCAACAGGACUGUGGUGAAUGUGAUCAAAGUUGAAAUUGUUUGACUACAUGGAUAGUAUGGUGAUGGUGUAGCUUAACGCUUAGCAUUGAUUUCAGUGCUUUGGGAUAUGUUAUAGUGAGUCAUUAGAAAGGGUCUUAAUAGCUACCAUGGUAGUGAACUCAUGGCAUUUACACCAGUGUGGUUUUACUAUUAUUUAUAUACUAUUAUAGUAUUCAUUGAUAUUUUGAGUUAGCAUUUAUACCAUAGCUGAAACACCAUGGUCAUUUUAUUAGUGCUUUCAGGGGGUCCUGAGGUUGCAUUUUAUAUACAAUCCCACAAAGACCUUUUAUUUCACAGCAAAGCAUAAUAUUACAGAUCAGCAUGUACAAAGUCUGUAUAAACAAAAAUAGUGAUCACAAUGCUGGCUAAACCUGGUGACAGUGUGAGCAGCAGCUCUGAUGUGAGGCAACCAGUGGAACUAAAAAGAGCUUCUCGCCAAUAUCUAUUAGUGAUGCCUGUUGCCACGGUUACCCAUGACAUCUCUUUUCCUGGAAAUGUAAAAGCACAGUCACUGGUUUCUUUCUUUUUUCACUCUCUCUCUCUUGCAGCAUCAGAUCUUCCAAAGGAGGUUCCCAAAAGCGUACAAGUGGGCUGGCAAGAGAGUGUAACCAUGGUGAUGGGGUAAUGGAGUGAUCACUGUAGCAGCAUAGCUUGACAGAGCUGACGGGGCACUAGAGCACUGAGGCAGAGCCAGACGGUCACUUUGGAAAAUAAGCUCUGGAUACCCACACUCCCAGAGAAGGGGUGAAAAAAGCUGAAUCAAAUAUAGACAUUCACCGGAAAAGAAGUGGGCAGCACAGACAGACCCUGAGCUCUGGUGCUUAUGUGAUGCAAAUCUUGGACUCCCCACAGGA